RNAcentral lists this long non-coding RNA (229 nucleotides) under Bos taurus (domestic cattle). RNAcentral describes it as "long non-coding RNA NONBTAT005668". Lineage: Eukaryota; Metazoa; Chordata; Mammalia; Artiodactyla; Bovidae. The record is from RNAcentral.
GCUUAAGUGCUAAUGCCAAGUGUUAGAUUUUGUUUAUUUGUUUGUUUGAAAUCAGAGACUAAUUAAUGUCAACCAAAGCUGUUGAAAGAUUUCGGAGCCCUGGUCGGUUUCCAGUGACCAGAUCACUUGUGUAAAACUAAAACAGGUCUUGGUAGAAUUUCUGCGAAUAACAGUUUAACCUUUUGUCUGUAAUCUGUUGUUUCAAAGAGGAAUCUUGAAGCCUGGGUUU